This is a non-coding RNA of Hypoxylon sp. NC1633, 130 nucleotides long. Lineage: Eukaryota; Fungi; Ascomycota; Sordariomycetes; Xylariales; Hypoxylaceae. The record is from the annotation of a GenBank genome assembly.
GCCCGGUUAGCUCAAUCGGUAGAGCGUGAGACUCUUAAUCUCAAGGUUGCGGGUAUGUCUACAUAAUGAAUGUUUGGGCUGUACCCUCUUGUUAACAUUGGUGUUGUAGGUUCGACCCCCGCAUCGGGCU